This 305-nucleotide unclassified non-coding RNA is filed under the name plant metagenome. RNAcentral's name for it is "partial contains 5.8S ribosomal RNA, internal transcribed spacer 2, and large subunit ribosomal RNA". The stretch from base 1 to 105 matches the Rfam family "5.8S ribosomal RNA", at positions 50 to 154 of the family's 154-position model. The record is from RNAcentral.
GAAAUGCGAUAAGUAAUGUGAAUUGCAGAAUUCAGUGAAUCAUCGAAUCUUUGAACGCACAUUGCGCCCGCCAGUAUUCUGGCGGGCAUGCCUGUUCGAGCGUCAUUUCAACCAUCAAGCCCCCGGCUUGUGUUGGGGACCUGCGGCUGCCCGCAGGCCCUGAAAAACAGUGGCGGGCUCGCUGUCACACCGAGCGUAGUAGCAUACAUUCACGCUCAGGGCGUGCUGCGGGUUCCGGCCGUUAAACGACCUUCAUAACCCAAGGUUGACCUCGGAUCAGGUAGGAAGACCCGCUGAACUUAAGC